This 1327-nucleotide ribosomal RNA is filed under the name Boeremia exigua var. exigua. RNAcentral describes it as "eukaryotic LSU rRNA". It matches the Rfam family "Eukaryotic large subunit ribosomal RNA", at positions 68 to 1414 of the family's 3401-position model. Lineage: Eukaryota; Fungi; Ascomycota; Dothideomycetes; Pleosporales; Didymellaceae. The record is from RNAcentral. RNAcentral also lists the same sequence under 15 other names.
ACAGGGAUUGCCCUAGUAACGGCGAGUGAAGCGGCAACAGCUCAAAUUUGAAAUCUGGCGUCUUUGGCGUCCGAGUUGUAAUUUGCAGAGGGCGCUUUGGCAUUGGCAGCGGUCCAAGUUCCUUGGAACAGGACGUCACAGAGGGUGAGAAUCCCGUACGUGGUCGCUAGCCUUUACCGUGUAAAGCCCCUUCGACGAGUCGAGUUGUUUGGGAAUGCAGCUCUAAAUGGGAGGUAAAUUUCUUCUAAAGCUAAAUACUGGCCAGAGACCGAUAGCGCACAAGUAGAGUGAUCGAAAGAUGAAAAGCACUUUGGAAAGAGAGUUAAAAAGCACGUGAAAUUGUUGAAAGGGAAGCGCUUGCAGCCAGACUUGCCUGUAGUUGCUCAUCCGGGUUUUUACCCGGUGCACUCUUCUAUAGGCAGGCCAGCAUCAGUUUGGGCGGUUGGAUAAAGGUCUCUGUCACGUACCUCCUCUCGGGGAGAACUUAUAGGGGAGACGUAAUGCAACCAGCCUGGACUGAGGUCCGCGCAUCUGCUAGGAUGCUGGCGUAAUGGCUGUAAGCGGCCCGUCUUGAAACACGGACCAAGGAGUCUAACAUCUAUGCGAGUGUUUGGGUGUCAAGCCCGAGCGCGUAAUGAAAGUGAACGGAGGUGGGAACCUUUCGGGGUGCACCAUCGACCGAUCCUGAUGUCUUCGGAUGGAUUUGAGUAAGAGCAUAGCUGUUGGGACCCGAAAGAUGGUGAACUAUGCUUGAAUAGGGUGAAGCCAGAGGAAACUCUGGUGGAGGCUCGCAGCGGUUCUGACGUGCAAAUCGAUCGUCAAAUUUGGGCAUAGGGGCGAAAGACUAAUCGAACUAUCUAGUAGCUGGUUCCUGCCGAAGUUUCCCUCAGGAUAGCAGUAACGUUUUCAGUUUUAUGAGGUAAAGCGAAUGAUUAGAGGCCUGGGGGUUGAAACAACCUUCACCUAUUCUCAAACUUUAAAUAUGUAAGAAGUCCUUGUUACUUAAUUGAACGUGGACAGUUGAAUGUAUCGUUACUAGUGGGCCAUUUUUGGUAAGCAGAACUGGCGAUGCGGGAUGAACCGAACGCGGGGUUAAGGUGCCAGAAUAUACGCUCAUCAGACACCACAAAAGGUGUUAGUUCAUCUAGACAGCAGGACGGUGGCCAUGGAAGUCGGAAUCCGCUAAGGAGUGUGUAACAACUCACCUGCCGAAUGAACUAGCCCUGAAAAUGGAUGGCGCUCAAGCGUAUUACCCAUACCCCGCCGCUGGGGCAAGAUUUAAGCCCCAGCGAGUAGGCAGGCGUGGAGGUCCGUGACGAAGCCUUGG